GCGAACCGAAGCACUUGACCCCUUCGGAGCCGCUUCGGUCCGACGGACAGCAUUCCCCCUCCCAGGCUGUCGGUCACUCUCGAAGCCCGGCGCCCCUCUCCCGCGCCGGGCUUUCGUU
This 118-nucleotide small RNA is filed under the name Rhizobium leguminosarum. RNAcentral describes it as "ar14". It matches the Rfam family "Alphaproteobacterial ar14". Rfam says of the family: Smr14C2 was renamed NfeR1 (Nodule Formation Efficiency RNA) highly expressed in salt stress and during the symbiotic interaction on legume roots. RNAcentral also lists the same sequence under 1 other name. The record is from RNAcentral. Lineage: Bacteria; Pseudomonadati; Pseudomonadota; Alphaproteobacteria; Hyphomicrobiales; Rhizobiaceae.